RNAcentral lists this ribosomal RNA (253 nucleotides) under uncultured bacterium. Its description in RNAcentral is "partial 16S ribosomal RNA". It matches the Rfam family "Bacterial small subunit ribosomal RNA", at positions 524 to 776 of the family's 1533-position model. The record is from RNAcentral.
GACAGAGGGUGCAAACGUUGUUCGGAAUUACUGGGCGUAAAGCGCGUGUAGGCGGCUAUGCAAGUCGGAUGUGAAAGCCCUCGGCUCAACCGGGGAAGUGCACCCGAAACUGCAAAGCUAGAGUCUCGGAGAGGAUCGUGGAAUUCUCGGUGUAGAGGUGAAAUUCGUAGAUAUCGAGAGGAACACCGGUGGCGAAGGCGACUACCUGGCCUGUUCUUGACGCUGAGGCGCGAAAGCUAGGGGAGCAAACGGG